UGCUCCUGAAUUCAGCGGCGGACGGGUGAGUAAUGCCUAGGAAUCUGCCUGGUAGUGGGGGACAACGUUUCGAAAGGAACGCUAAUACCGCAUACGUCCUACGGGAGAAAGCAGGGGACCUUCGGGCCUUGCGCUAUCAGAUGAGCCUAGGUCGGAUUAGCUAGUUGGUGAGGUAAUGGCUCACCAAGGCGACGAUCCGUAACUGGUCUGAGAGGAUGAUCAGUCACACUGGAACUGAGACACGGUCCAGACUCCUACGGGAGGCAGCAGUGGGGAAUAUUGGACAAUGGGCGAAAGCCUGAUCCAGCCAUGCCGCGUGUGUGAAGAAGGUCUUCGGAUUGUAAAGCACUUUAAGUUGGGAGGAAGGGUUGUAGAUUAAUACUCUGCAAUUUUGACGUUACCGACAGAAUAAGCACCGGCUAACUCUGUGCCAGCAGCCGCGGUAAUACAGAGGGUGCAAGCGUUAAUCGGAAUUACUGGGCGUAAAGCGCGCGUAGGUGGUUCGUUAAGUUGGAUGUGAAAGCCCCGGGCUCAACCUGGGAACUGCAUUCAAAACUGACG
RNAcentral lists this ribosomal RNA (561 nucleotides) under Pseudomonas sp. SA038. RNAcentral describes it as "bacterial SSU rRNA". It matches the Rfam family "Bacterial small subunit ribosomal RNA", at positions 81 to 638 of the family's 1533-position model. The record is from RNAcentral. Lineage: Bacteria; Pseudomonadati; Pseudomonadota; Gammaproteobacteria; Pseudomonadales; Pseudomonadaceae.